AAACAAUAUUUUGCAAUAUUAUCUGUAUUGUGAUGUUAAAAUACUUGUGAUUAUUAUAGGUAACAAAGUCACAGGUACUGUUACCACUACUGAAGUGUGAAGCCUACAGUCAUAAUUGAAGAAAAGGCACAAUUUCAGUUAGAGGUGAAGUCUCGCUCUGUCGCUUAGGCUGGAGUGCAGUGGUGCCAUCUCAGCUCACUGUAACCUCUGCCUCCCAGGUUCAAGUGACUCUCCUGCGUCAGCCUCCUAAGUAGCUGGGAUUACAGGGUCUCACUCUGUCACUCAGGCUGGAGUGCAGUGGUAUGAUCACAGCUCACUGCAGCCUCGACCUCCCAGGCUCAAGCAAUCCUCCUACCUCAGCCUCCUAGGACUACAGAUGAGUAAACUGAAACACAGAGAAGCCAAGUGACUGUCUUUAUCCAGUGAAGAAGUGGUGUGCAGGAAUUCGGACCGGACAGUGUGACUCCAGGAUCUAUGCUGUUUAUCUCCAUGCCAGUCUGCCCAUUCUCCUGUGCCCUUCUCAUUUGAGAAGUUGCUGCUUGCUGCCCAGCUUACAGUUCAGGUUGCCAGGGUGGGAGCAAUAUUUUUCAUAGCACUUAGUCCAACCCUCUUGUUACAGCUGAUUGGGUGACAGGUAGAUAGAUCCCUGAUCAAUGGUAGUCUAUGGCUAUUCUGCAAUCUGUCACUCAGGUGGGCUCUCACUCUGUGGUAUUUAAAUGAAGCAACUUGGAAAUAAUUUGCUAGCUGUUAAGGAACAGGAAAAAGUGGAUGGGUGGCCUGUAGAUGAGUCAUGUUUAGAGUGACUUAUCAGUAAUAAAGGUAUUAGUGCUUCGCUACUUGAGUGUCUAGAGUACCUUCAAUUCAGAUCCACUCUCCCACUCAUUUAUCUGGGAUUCCCAAGCCUAUUAUGGC
Molecule: long non-coding RNA, 912 nt
Filed under: Homo sapiens (human)
Lineage: Eukaryota; Metazoa; Chordata; Mammalia; Primates; Hominidae
Description: HSALNT0296912
Source: RNAcentral